GCGGAUAUGGCGUAAUUGGUAGCCGCGCUAGAUUUAGGAUCUAGUGCCGUAAGGCGUGAGGGUUCGAGUCCCCCUAUCCGCACCA
RNAcentral lists this transfer RNA (85 nucleotides) under Prevotellaceae bacterium. RNAcentral describes it as "tRNA-Leu". It matches the Rfam family "tRNA". From Rfam's summary of the family: Transfer RNA (tRNA) molecules are approximately 80 nucleotides in length. Their secondary structure includes four short double-helical elements and three loops (D, anti-codon, and T loops). Further hydrogen bonds mediate the characteristic L-shaped molecular structure. tRNAs have two regions of fundamental functional importance: the anti-codon, which is responsible for specific mRNA codon recognition, and the 3' end, to which the tRNAs corresponding amino acid is attached (by aminoacyl-tRNA synthetases). tRNAs cope with the degeneracy of the genetic code in two manners: having more than one tRNA (with a specific anti-codon) for a particular amino acid; and 'wobble' base-pairing, i.e. permitting non-standard base-pairing at the 3rd anti-codon position. Lineage: Bacteria; Pseudomonadati; Bacteroidota; Bacteroidia; Bacteroidales; Prevotellaceae. The record is from RNAcentral.